Molecule: ribosomal RNA, 253 nt
Filed under: uncultured bacterium
Lineage: Bacteria
Description: partial 16S ribosomal RNA
Rfam family: Bacterial small subunit ribosomal RNA
Source: RNAcentral
UACGUAGGUCCCAAGCGUUAUCCGGAGUUACUGGGCGUAAAGUGUCCGUAGCCUGAUAUUUAAGUCCAUUUUCAAAUAUCUCAGCUUAACUGAGAGAAGGGAAUAGAUACUGGAUAUCUGGAGGUCUUUGGAGGUUAGUGGAAUUUCCGGUGGAGCGGUGAAAUGCGUUGAUAUCGGAAAGAAUGCCGAAAGCGAAAGCAGCUAACUACAGAGAACCUGACGGUGAGGGACGAAAGUUUGGGGAGCAAACGGG